This 600-nucleotide ribosomal RNA is filed under the name uncultured Actinomycetes bacterium. Its description in RNAcentral is "bacterial SSU rRNA". It matches the Rfam family "Bacterial small subunit ribosomal RNA", at positions 252 to 866 of the family's 1533-position model. The record is from RNAcentral. Lineage: Bacteria; Bacillati; Actinomycetota; Actinomycetes.
GUGAGGUAAUGGCUCACCAAGGCUUCGACGGGUAGCUGGUCUGAGAGGACGAUCAGCCACACUGGGACUGAGACACGGCCCAGACUCCUACGGGAGGCAGCAGUGGGGAAUCUUGCGCAAUGGGCGGAAGCCUGACGCAGCGACGCCGCGUGGGGGAUGAAGGCCUUAGGGUCGUAAACCCCUUUCAGCAGGGACGAAGAUGACGGUACCUGCAGAAGAAGCCCCGGCCAACUACGUGCCAGCAGCCGCGGUAAGACGUAGGGGGCGAGCGUUGUCCGGAAUUAUUGGGCGUAAAGGGCUCGUAGGCGGUUCGGUAAGUCGGAUGUGAAAACUCAGGGCUCAACCCUGAGACGCCAUCCGAUACUGCUGUGACUUGAGUUCGGUAGAGGAGUGUGGAAUUCCUGGUGUAGCGGUGAAAUGCGCAGAUAUCAGGAGGAACACCUACGGCGAAGGCAGCACUCUGGGCCGAAACUGACGCUGAGGAGCGAAAGCGUGGGUAGCAAACAGGAUUAGAUACCCUGGUAGUCCACGCCGUAAACGGUGGGCACUAGGUGUGGGGCCUUAUCAACGGGUUCCGUGCCGAAGCUAACGCAUUAAGUG